Molecule: ribosomal RNA, 497 nt
Filed under: uncultured bacterium
Lineage: Bacteria
Description: partial 16S ribosomal RNA
Rfam family: Bacterial small subunit ribosomal RNA
Source: RNAcentral
GAUGGACGCUGGCGGCGUGCCUAAUACAUGCAAGUCGAGCGAACAGAUGAGGAGCUUGCUCCUCUGACGUUAGCGGCGGACGGGUGAGUAACACGUGGAUAACCUACCUAUAAGACUGAGAUAACUUCGGGAAACCGGAGCUAAUACCGGAUAAUAUAUUGAACCGCAUGGUUCAAUAGUGAAAGACGGUUUUGCUGUCACUUAUAGAUGGAUCCGCGCCGCAUUAGCUAGUUGGUAAGGUAACGGCUUACCAAGGCAACGAUGCGUAGCCGACCUGAGAGGGUGAUCGGCCACACUGGAACUGAGACACGGUCCAGACUCCUACGGGAGGCAGCAGUAGGGAAUCUUCCGCAAUGGGCGAAAGCCUGACGGAGCAACGCCGCGUGAGUGAUGAAGGUCUUCGGAUCGUAAAACUCUGUUAUUAGGGAAGAACAAAUGUGUAAGUAACUAUGCACGUCUUGACGGUACCUAAUCAGAAAGCCACGGCUAACUACGUG